Molecule: long non-coding RNA, 2822 nt
Organism: Neoarius graeffei (lesser salmon catfish)
Lineage: Eukaryota; Metazoa; Chordata; Actinopteri; Siluriformes; Ariidae
Exons: 5
Source: RefSeq, a predicted model, not a curated record
CGUUCACACACACACACACACAUUACUCACCUGUAGUGAAACACAAGAUAAUUAAGACAGGAAGGCUGUUCAUGUCUUGGUGGUGUUUAGUUCGAAUCCCUCGUCCUUUCGGCUCACACAUGGCAUCUGACAGGCGGUACAGAGACGCACAGGGAUCUGUAAUCCGAUUACACAACACAAAAACUAUCCUGUGAUCAACGAGCCUCUCUCCACUUGGGUCGGAUUCAGCGUGAGAUAGGAACAGAAGACCUCGCGGUAAACCUCCGAGGAGAAGGUGCUUGUGGACUGGAGGCGCCUGACUCGUGCGGCACUGACGAACUGCAGGAACGGGACAUGGGGAAGUGAAGAAUGGACCCAAGGAGUUCCAUUUGUCAAAGGAGGAGCCUUUGAUAUCAUCAUGGUUAUUAAGCCAGAAGAUUAUGAGAUGAUAGUGAAUGGCCUGGGAUUCUGCACGUUCAAUCACUACCAGUGGACAACGUGACAACACUUGACAUUCGGGGAGACGUCUUCAGGAACACCUUUGGCGUUAUUGAAGUGGAUGAUGAUAAUCUGAAAGUCAUCAAUCCUGCAAAUAUUUGAGGAUUCAAAUCUUCCCCAAAAGGCCCUCGAGUGUGCCUUGGCAACCCUGGAUAUUAAAAAACAAGGAGCUACAAGGCCCAGGCAGAGAGUCACCGAGCCCUCCACUGCUACUCGCUGGGCCAACAUGAGGUCUUGAAGGUGCCCACCCUGUACACUCAUCUUUGCCUCAUGAUGAGCCCAUGCCCACUGCACUCGAGCUACCUCCUUCUGCCCCAGCCUGGAAACCAUGGCUUGCUGGCUGCGUGAUCCACUUGCCUACCAGUCCUCAUCUACCAAGCGCCCCUGUGUAGGUAGACGGUCAGCCAGUGAAAGCCCUUCUGGACUCAGGCAGCACCAUCAUGCUGAUCUGACCUUCAAUCCUGCCUCUGGUUGAGGGGCGCAGCAGUACAGUAAAGGUCACCUGCAUGCAUGGGGAUGCACAAGAGGUGGCCACCACCAACGUCCACAUUGGGGAUGAGACAGGUGAGUAGGAAUUGUCUGUAGGUGUGGUACCUGACUUCCCUGUUCCUCUCCUCCUAGGUCGGGACUGGCCCGGAUUCCCGAGAGAACUGCCUGCCGCCACGAGGAUGAGGAGACGCUGACCCUCACAAGGAUGUGUGGCAGAUUGUCGGCUGUUGCAGGUCAGUCAGAUUCACAUGUCAGUGUACCAUCCCCAAACUGCGGGCAGGUUGAGAGGUUCAACCAGACCCUGAAGCAAAUGCUCUGGUGAAUAGUGGACAAAAAUGGCUGGAACUGGAACCUCUUUACCCCUUUGUCUUAUUUGCUAUCCAAGAGAUGUCACAAGCAUCCACUGGCUUCACCCCCUUUGAGGUGCUGUUUGGGAGAAGGCUCCAGGGCCUGCUGGAUGUGGCCACGGAGGCCAGGGAGGAGCAGCCCUCUCCAUUCAGCACCACAAUUGAACAUGUAAAAGAAAUGCAAGAGCACAUCGAUAAGGUGGUCCCCAUCAUGUGCCAACAUGCUCACCGCCCAGGCUGAGCAGAGCUGCCACUACAGCCACUCAGCCCAGCCCCAGGUGCUCCGGCCUGGUGCUUGUUUGCUGCUACUCCUUCCCACCACCAACUGCAAGUUUCUGCAGGGUCCCUUCACAGUGGCUGACCAUGUUGGACCAGUGAACUACUGCAUGCAGCAGCAGCCGGGUAAGCACAAGGACACUCAACUGUACCAUAUUAACCUGCUGAAAUGCUGGGGUGAGCCCCUUCCUUUGCUCUCAGCCCACACUCUUGUGUCCCCAGAUCCCACAGGGCAUACACUGGUCCAGCUGGGAGAAGAGCUCUCUGGACAACAGUGCUAAGAGCUGGGAGAACUGCUGGACCAGUAUGCAGAUGUGUUCACAGCAGAGCCAGGCCAAACCUGUGUGAACUACUGUAUGAUCCAGUAUGACAUCCGGACCUCCCUCCCAGGGUGGUAAUUCGUCAACACCGCUCUUGCAUCCCAGAGGGCUGCCGUUGUGUGAUCAAAGAGGAAGUGGCACAAAUGCUGCAAAUGGAGAUCACUGAGGAGUCCACCAGCCCCUGGUCAAGCUCCAUUGUGGUGGUGCCCAAACCCAAUGAAAGUCUGAGGCUAUGCAAUGAUCUGUCUCUGUCCCAAUGAUCAGAAAACUCAACGCCAUCUCAGACUUUGAGAGCUACACCUAGCAUAGUCCCUAAAUGGUAUGCCUGCAGAGUCCAGAAGGGGGAGCUCUCAUCCCCGAUGAGACUCUGCCACACAGAAAGUAUCUUGUCGGAGAGUCCUUAUUAACGUUUUUCCUUUUUCAGGUACGAUAUGAUAAUUUUUAGCUCUUGAACUUCUGAAUGCGUUUGGGUGGCACCAUGGUGCAGUGGUUAGCACGGUCACCUCACAGCAAGAAAGUUCCAGGUUCGAACCUCACAACCAACGGGGGCCUUUCUCUGUGGAGUUUGCAUGUUCUCCCCGUGUCUGUGUGGGUUUCCUCCGGGUACUCCGGUUUCCCCCACAGUUCAAAGACAUGCAGAUUCAGUAAAAUACUCAGCCACUGGGUUUGGACAAGCCAGUGCAUAUACUUAGUGCCAGUCCCAAGCCCGGAUAGAUUGGGGAGGGUUGCGUCAGGUAACACCUCUGCCAAAUCAAAUAUCCGCGACAGAUCCGCUGUGGUGACCCCGAACAAACGGGAGCAGCUGAAAGAAGAACUUUGAAUGGUGUUUGCUUUGUUGUUUAAUUUGUCUUUUAUUAUCAUACUGAAUGGACGUUGCAUGUGUUUUGAAGCAGUAUUUUCAUUUGCAAAUUGG